RNAcentral lists this ribosomal RNA (429 nucleotides) under Acidobacteriota bacterium. RNAcentral describes it as "Acidobacteria bacterium partial 16S ribosomal RNA". It matches the Rfam family "Bacterial small subunit ribosomal RNA", at positions 355 to 776 of the family's 1533-position model. The record is from RNAcentral. Lineage: Bacteria; Pseudomonadati; Acidobacteriota.
UAGGGAAUCUUCCGCAAUGGGCGAAAGCCUGACGGAGCAACGCCGCGUGAGUGAUGAAGGUCUUCGGAUCGUAAAACUCUGUUAUUAGGGAAGAACAAAUGUGUAAGUAACUAUGCACGUCUUGACGGUACCUAAUCAGAAAGCCACGGCUAACUACGUGCCAGCAGCCGCGGUAAUACGUAGAUGGCAAGCGUUAUCCGGAAUUAUUGGGCGUAAAGCGCGCGUAGGCGGUUUUUUAAGUCUGAUGUGAAAGUCCACGGCUCAACCGUGGAGGGUCAUUGGAAACUGGAAAACUUGAGUGCAGAAGAGGAAAGUGGAAUUCCAUGUGUAGCGGUGAAAUGCGCAGAGAUAUGGAGGAACACCAGUGGCGAAGGCGACUUUCUGGUCUGUAACUGACGCUGAUGUGCGAAAGCGUGGGGAUCAAACAGG